Molecule: RNA transcript, 2440 nt
Organism: Ictalurus furcatus (blue catfish)
Lineage: Eukaryota; Metazoa; Chordata; Actinopteri; Siluriformes; Ictaluridae
Gene: rbm24a
Gene name: RNA binding motif protein 24a
Exons: 5
Source: RefSeq, a predicted model, not a curated record
GGGGGUGUGAGCACAACUACUCUGUUGUCCGUUCUCCAGCUGUUCGUGCGGGUGGGCGCGUGCGGUGGGCGUGGCGCUACACACAGCCCCUCCUACAUCGCUGUGUGGGCGUGCUUUCGCCAGGCGCAUUUAGGAAUGGGUCAGAGGCACUUUUUUAGACGUCAGUUACGAAGCGGAGUUCAACCCACCUGAUGAUCUCCAGAACAAUCCGCUCAACGAGUCACAAGUGACAAUAAAAUCUACCUCGAGUCUCAAAGUUGUGUCGCUUCCAAGCCGUGUUUUAUACUGCUUCGUAACUCUUCGUGUUUUAAAAGAGAAACAUAUAGGAGAGAUUUAGGCUUGUAUAUCGACUCAAACAUUGCACUACUUUUUGUUUUUGUUGUUGUUUUUCUUCUUCUUCUUCCUAAUUGCAUUGCAUUGCACGUGAGCGUUUGAGGACUGAGGAUGCAUACCACCCAAAAGGACACGACCUACACCAAGAUAUUUGUCGGAGGUCUGCCAUAUCACACCACAGAUUCCAGUCUGAGGAAAUAUUUUGAGGUGUUUGGGGAAAUCGAGGAGGCUGUCGUGAUUACUGACAGACAGACUGGAAAGUCCAGGGGGUAUGGUUUUGUGACAAUGGCAGAUCGCUCUGCGGCAGACAGAGCUUGUAAGGACCCCAACCCUAUCAUUGAUGGCAGGAAGGCCAACGUGAACCUGGCUUACCUGGGAGCCAAGCCGCGGGUGAUGCAGCCAGGAUUCACAUUUGGUGUACCCCAGAUUCAUCCGGCUUUCAUCCAGAGACCGUAUGGGAUCCCCGCUCACUACGUAUACCCACAGGCAUUCAUGCAGCCCAGCGUGGUGAUCCCUCACGUGCAGCCGACCACUGCGUCCACCGCCGCCACCGCCUCCUCGCCCUACAUCGACUACACUGGAGCUGCAUACGCACAGUACGCCAGCGCUGCUACUGCUGCGGCUGCCGCCGCUGCAUAUGAGCAGUACCCAUACGCCGCCUCCCCCGCCGCAGCCGGCUACGUCACUACAGCUGGCUAUGGCUACGCUAUGCAGCAGCCACUGGCCGCUGCCACUCCAGGCUCUGCGGCAGCCGCCGCAGCCGCCGCAUUCGGUCAGUACCAGCCCCAGCAACUGCAGGCCGAGCGCAUGCAAUAGCAGCUUAUGGCACUGAGAUGUGAGGAAAAGCCAAUGCUCAGUGACUGCUCAUUGGCUGUACAGAGGUGUCUCACCAGAGGGAGGAUAAUGUGAUGAGGAUGACGAUUGAUGGAGGUGUUUAAGUGAGCUUUGUCAGCAGUUCCACCCCUGUCCUACGGAGCCGGGCUGGAGGUUUAAGCGCAGGCUGCGUUCCCCUGAUCCCCUUCUGACAUCACCCUCAGCACCUGCCACCGCAUCUCUCGCUCAUGAGCAGCUCCUCUCUGGAACGAACGAGUGAGAACGUGAGACAAGCAGACUUCAACAAUGAACCAAUGAACUUCCAUCAGUCAACCAAACUCUCUGUCUAGAGAAAUGUCUGUGCACCAGCAUGUCUUUCUUUCCUAGUGAGAGAUUAAUCCAUUCUCUGUUCUCUCAGAAAACCUGAUGUCACGUCUUUGUACUAAAAAGCAGCACUAAAGCUGAGGGCUCAAACACAAGUCUGAGAGUUCACAGUGCCUUACAACUGUAAUGCUAUUUAAAGAGGAAGAAAGAGAACUGAUAUUUAUUUAUUUUGAGAGUUAUGCUGUGCUCUAAGGACGGAGACUUAGUGGUGGUACUGUAUUAAUAAUAAUAAUAAUAAUAAUAAUAAUAAUAAUAAUAAUAAUGUAUUCAUCUCAUGGCAUAUUAUAAGUUAUUGAGUAGAUUUAGUUAUAGUAUCAUUAACAUACUCAACCAAAAAAAAUGUUGAUUUAUUUAAGAUAAAAUUCUGUAUGUGCACUGUACAUUUUGUUUUUCUAUGCCUUAUGAAUUUUAGAGCAUUUCAUUAAAUAUCUGCUAGGUUAAUGCCUCUUGUAAGAUGUUUAUUUAAUGCAGGCCUAUGUGCAGGCAGGAUCUCUCUCCUUUUUUUGUCAUAUCUAGAACUGUAGAAAAUAAAAAAAGAGGAAAAACUCCUUGUAAAAACUAAGCAAAAUGCUGCUUCAUACACUAGAAUGUAUAGUCCUUGUCAAGGUUCAAUAUCUGUGCUUCUACUGCUUUUAAUAUACAGUACAUCAGAUGGGCUAUUUUACACUGUUGGGAAUUUUUAUACUUGAACUUGAACAAGGGAAAAUAUGAAAAGCAAUAACAAACUUUUUAAGGAAGCAUUUCAUUGUCACUGGAUUUGGGCAUGUAAGGUGUUAUUUACUAUUUAAUGUCGAUCCAAAGGUUGUCUCAGUAAACCUAAUUUAAACCUUAUUUCAGAUUUUCAACACUAUUUACUCGAAAAAGAAAAUAAAAGGUUCUAUAUUUCAACCUUCAAACUGCUGUGUGUGUC